Sesamum indicum (sesame) is the source of this 534-nucleotide non-coding RNA. The record is from RefSeq and is a predicted model, not a curated record. NCBI's taxonomy places the organism in Eukaryota, Viridiplantae, Streptophyta, Magnoliopsida, Lamiales, Pedaliaceae.
CCCACAUUGCUCAAAUACUGCGUCUUUCCCCACCUAAUUUUGAAGCCUGUGGAAGUAGUAGAGUGUCCCUUCGGGGACAUCCGAUAAAAUUGGAACGAUACAGAGAAGAUUAGCAUGGCCCCUGCGCAAGGAUGACACGCAUAAAUCGAGAAAUGGUCCAAAUUUUUUUUGAGAAUUUUCAGUCUUCAGGUUUUGUGGAUGGAAAGUUGAUUUUUGCGGGAUGGAAGUGUUUUAGGGUUUACUUGAGGUUGGUGUGAUGUAUUCAUUACGGUGAACCAAAGGAGGAUUAUGCCUUGCGGCUGGAGCUGGAGGGGUGAAAACCUUGUUAACAAUUUCAGAUUUCUUGGUUUUCGAUCAUCUUUGACAGUCGUGAGAUCAGGCUAGAUAGGGAUUUUCUCUGUCUCCACCAAGUAAUGCCUUAAAAGACCAAAUGCUUCCUUGCUACUUAAAUUGUAAUGAGCAACCUGAGACUCCACUCUCAUAUUGUUAAGAGCACGAAAUGCGAACUGGUUUGAUGCUGUGGCAGUGUCCGUC